GAGGGUGUGGCUUAGCGGCAGAGCACGUGCUUAGCAUGCACAAGGUCCUGGGUUCAAUCCCCAGCACCUCCA
This 72-nucleotide transfer RNA is filed under the name Camelus bactrianus (Bactrian camel). It matches the Rfam family "tRNA". Rfam says of the family: Transfer RNA (tRNA) molecules are approximately 80 nucleotides in length. RNAcentral also lists the same sequence under 1 other name. Lineage: Eukaryota; Metazoa; Chordata; Mammalia; Artiodactyla; Camelidae. The record is from Rfam by way of RNAcentral.